Molecule: long non-coding RNA, 1152 nt
Organism: Cyprinus carpio carpio
Lineage: Eukaryota; Metazoa; Chordata; Actinopteri; Cypriniformes; Cyprinidae
Source: Ensembl
GUGGUGGUGCUUUCUGUUGUUGUAGUAUAUAUUGUGGUGCUGUCUGUUGUCAUUGUUGUCUCUGCUGUUGUACUUUCUGGUGUUGUGGUACCGGAGGUUGUACUUUCUGUUGUUAUCUCAGCUGUGGUGCUUUCAGUUGUUGUGAUUUCUGGUGUUGUGGUAGCUGUGGUGGUGCUUUCUGUUGUUGUAGUAGUGUCUGUUGUGGUGCUUUCUGUAGUUGUGGUAUCUUCUAUAGCUGUGGUUUCCAUUGUUGUAAUUUCUGAAGUUGUGGUACCAGUGGUGCUGCUUUCUGUUGUUGUGGUCAUUAUGGUAGUACUUUCUGUAGUUGUGGUGUCUUCUGUUGUUGUGAUCUCAGUUGUGGUGGCACUUUCUGUUGUAGUAUCUGUUGUGGUGCUUUCUGUUGUUGUGGUUUCGGUUAAUGUAGUGUCUGCUGUUGUACUUUCUGGUGUUGUGAUUCCAGAGGUUGUACUUUCUGUUGUUGUCUCAGUUGUGGUGCUGUCUGUUGUUAUUGAAAUUUCUGCUGUUGUACUUUCUAAAGUUGUGGUACCGGUGGUGGUGCUUUGUGUUGUUGUAGAAUCCAUUGUGGUGCUGUCUGUUGUUAUUGUUGUCUCUGCUGUUGUACUUUCUGGUGUUGUGGUACCGGAGGUUGUACUUUCUGUUGUGGUGCCUGUGGUUGUACUUUCUGUUGUUGUCUCAGUUGUGGUGCUUUCAGUUGUUAUUGAAAUUUCUGCUGUUGUACUUUCUAAAGUUGUGGUACCGGUGGUGGUGCUUUGUGUUGUUGUAGAUUCCAUUGUGGUGCUGUCUGUUGUUAUUGUUGUCUCUGCUGUUGUACUUUCUGGUGUUGUGGUACCGGAGGUUGUACUUUCUGUUGUGGUGCCUGUGGUUGUACUUUCUGUUGUUGUCUCAAUUGUGGUGCUUUCAGUUGUUGUUGAAGUUUCUGCUGUUGUACUUUCUGGUAUAGUGGUACCAGAGGUUGUACUUUCUGUUGUUGUCUCAGUUGUGAUGCUGUCUGUUGUUAUUGUUGUUUCUGCUGUUGUACUUUCUGGUGUUGUGGUACCGGAGGUUGUACUUUCUGUUGUUGUCUCAGUUGUGGUGCUUUCAGUUGUUGUUGAAGUUUCUGCUGUUGUACUUUCUAAAGUUGUGGUACCGGUG